UUGUAUAGUCACCCAUCAUUAAGGCUUAUAAUCUAUAGUUUUGCAGGGUGUUGGAAAGUUGGAGCCCAUAUGUUCAUCAGUGCGUUUGACUUGGCCACCUAUCCAGUUGCUAUCGGUGAAGAUUUAAGCUGAUCCACUGGUGGUUCUUCAUGGCAGAGAAUGUGCUUUCGGUCAGUGCACGCGCCAAACCCUCUUUUGCAUUGCAUUACAUUACACUGUGCUCCUGAUCCUAACCAAAAGGACAAGCCAAAGGUAUCAAAGUAUUGUAUUGUUGUGCCGAGAAAGGUGCAGGUAUGUGGCGCGCGUGUUCAAGUGAGUACACGAUACAACGGUCCAAACACCAAACCUGCAUGCAUCAAGGAAGAAUCUUCGAGAUGGAAGGUGAGCAUAUUAUUAUUAUUCGCUGAGCAAAACAAGAGCAGCUUUCAUUUCGAACGAACUGUAUCUGAUGCUAAUUAGUGUCUUGUGGGGCAGGAUUAAGAUACAGUUAUCGUCACCUGGAUCAUUUGCCCAUUGGGUUGUGUG
This 525-nucleotide long non-coding RNA is filed under the name Oryza brachyantha (malo sina). RNAcentral describes it as "long non-coding RNA (OBRA_LNC001566)". Lineage: Eukaryota; Viridiplantae; Streptophyta; Magnoliopsida; Poales; Poaceae. The record is from RNAcentral.